UGGCCGAUGGAGACUAUUUAGCCGCGCCCGCGGCCCCUCCCACGUGACCGUCCCGCGCCGAGCAUCCUGGGACUUGUAGUUUUCUGGAGGCAGCAGAGCCCGGAAAGCCUGAGGCCGGGGGCGGCCGAGACCGCAAUUCCCGUCACGGAGUGCGUCCUCUAGCGCGGGGCGGAAGACCCGCGAAGUGUUCAAGCGGCCGCAGAGCGGCCCAGAGUUCGCAGGUCUGGGGCUCUCUUCCCAGAGAGCUCGUAGGGGAGGACAGUCAAGGGACUCAAGCGUCUCUCUUGACUCCCCUUCUCUCGCUGUGCAGUGGCGGCGCCGAGGGGUCGACGCUCAGGGCUAAUCUCUAUGAGUCACCCUCGAGGCCCCGGGUAAUAUUGGGUGGAUCACAAGAACUAAUCUUUCAUGAUUUGGAAACCGGAAGGAAAGAAGCACUUUUGUAGCUGACUUACCUCAAUGACAUGACCAGUGUCUGAGCCUACAACUGCGCUAUCUUCCCUGGAUUUUUCUUCACCUUUUCCUUACUCAUGAGCCAGGACCCAUGUGGGCAGAGAGGAGAGUUCUCACCUGGAGUUCAGCAUGGUGGACUUGGGCUGCAGCCGUGGCCACCUGGUCCUCCAGAUCCGCCAGAUGGGUCUCAUCAGUGCCACUGUGGAUGCAGCGGGCGGCAUCUUCUAGCUCAGUCAGCUGGGUCUCCAGUCCAUACACAGUGCCUGCUGCCAGACAAAGCAAGAUGAAAAAGCUCCAAGCCCUCAGCAAGGCCAGAAUGUUCAUGUUUUACUCUGUGUUCACUAAAAGCCUACUUUCCUGGCACCAGGAGGCAGAAGAGAUUUAGUGGUUUAGCACUGAUACCAGCUGAACAGGAAUUUACAGCCAAAGUGAUGGUGCCUAAAGGACUGGAGGAGGAUAAUGAUGAUGAUGGUGGGGAUGAUGAUGAUGAUGAUGAUGACAGCAUUAAUUUAUUGAGCCAGUGGCUAAGCCAAGGGUUUUAUGUGACUUAUAUAUGCUCAUAGCA
RNAcentral lists this long non-coding RNA (1015 nucleotides) under Homo sapiens (human). Its description in RNAcentral is "PREDICTED lncRNA (TCONS_00191689)". Lineage: Eukaryota; Metazoa; Chordata; Mammalia; Primates; Hominidae. The record is from RNAcentral.